UACAGAGGUCCCAAGCGUUGUUCGGAUUCAUUGGGCGUAAAGGGUGCGUAGGCGGCGCGGUAAGUCGGGUGUGAAGUCUCGGGGCUUAACUCCGAAACUGCAUUCGAUACUGCCGUGCUUGAGGACUGGAGAGGAGACUGGAAUUUACGGUGUAGCGGUGAAAUGCGUAGAUAUCGUAAGGAAGACCAGUGGCGAAGGCGGGUCUCUGGACAGUUCCUGACGCUGAGGCACGAAGGCCAGGGGAGCAAACGGG
RNAcentral lists this ribosomal RNA (253 nucleotides) under uncultured bacterium. RNAcentral's name for it is "partial 16S ribosomal RNA". It matches the Rfam family "Bacterial small subunit ribosomal RNA", at positions 524 to 776 of the family's 1533-position model. The record is from RNAcentral.